UUUUCUCCUUUUAUGGAAAAUCUUUGUGCUGCUUUCAUGUUAACAGUUGUUACUGUUACUGUUAUUCAAAGAUUAAACUAAAUAUCAGUGCAUGAAAAUCUAUCUUAAUAAAGCCACGAUUUUCUUUUUUUUUUUUUUUUUUGAUGUUGUGUGUAUGCUUUGCACACUAGUACAAAAACUAGAAUAAGAAACGCAAGAUAUAGAACGGUUAACUUAGAUAUGCGUUCUCCAUGUUUAUAUAGAACGCCUGUCUUAAUUAACCGUUCUAUUUGAUUUUUUUUUAUUUUAUUAAAUUGUGAUUUUAUUAUAUAGGGAACGAAUUUCUUAGUUAACCGUUCUAUUUGAUACAUCUAAAUUUAACACUUACAAUAUAGAUCGCCCCUCCUAGUUAACCGUUCUAUAUGUUUAACAUUAUUUUUUAAGAAUAAAAUAAAAAUAAAAAUCUAACCUAUCAAGAGGCCCAAAAUUCUAACCCUAACUCCUCCUUCCUCUUAAUUAAGAUAGCCGUAAUCCGUUUCCUCAUCCUCUCAAGAACUUCUUCCCUCCUUUGAAACCCUUACUUCUUUCUCAUCUUCUACCUUCAUCCCUCAAAGUCCGAUCCUAGUAACUCCGGCUGAGUAUGGGUCUUGAUGCAGUACGGUGCUUUGUUUCAAGGUAGGUGGUGGCUGAGAUUGAAUUGAUUGGUGGAUCGUUUAAGGUGGUUAGAGGUGUGCGAAUUAUGAAGUGUAUUUUAAUUCUAAAUUAUUAAUUUUAGGUCUAUAACUUUCAUUAAUUGAUUUUUAUGUUAUGAUUUGAAUUAUAAUUUCUGAUUUUUCAUCUUUGAUUUGUGGGUGUUUGGUGCGGCUUCACUAUUGGCGUGCACUAUUGCUGGAGGUGCUGCGGUGUUGAGGUUAUUGGAGACGUUGCGGUGCUCGAUGUUGGUGGAGAUCAGAUGUUGCAAUGGUCGAGGUUGGUGGAGGCGUUGCUAAUGCUUCAAUUUGGGGGAAGCGCUGCUGGUGGUUCUGGUUUUUGAAGCUCCGUUGCGGUUGAAUCGGUUGAAUUGGAUUAUUAAGGUGGAGGUGGUUCGAAUUUCAUGGUUGCACUUUUAAAGUUGUUAGCAGUUUAGCACAUUGAUAAUUAUUAAGUUGGUAUAGAAUUGUAUCAAAAUAAAGAGUUGAGAUGUAAUUACUAUGUAUUUGAAUAUAAAGGAUACUUCGUAAUAAAAUAUAUUUUUAAUUUGA
This is a long non-coding RNA of Chenopodium quinoa (quinoa), 1220 nucleotides long. RefSeq lists it as uncharacterized. The record is from RefSeq and is a predicted model, not a curated record. The transcript is spliced from 2 exons. NCBI's taxonomy places the organism in Eukaryota, Viridiplantae, Streptophyta, Magnoliopsida, Caryophyllales, Amaranthaceae.